GACUAUUGACCAUAUAGAAUUAAAGCCAAUUUAAUAUUAUCGACAAUGAGAAGUGCUACAUCACCGGGGCCACUGGAGGGCCAAAUUUCUCCAUCCAACCUAUCAUAGGGGACCACGAACAGCCGUGUUCGCUUCGAAUUUUCCUUUGUGGAAAAAAGAAGUGAAAUUUACAAUCUUGUUAGAUUAUUAGCCACUCGUUGAAGGACAGAACUGGUCCGACCAAAUUAAAUGGCCUUUGACACUGAACAAAUGCAUGAAAAGGAACAUUACACGGGUAGCCACACGCUACCAAGAAUAAUGUAGCUAAAACAGGCUCUAUAUAUAAUUUGUAUCGUAUGUAUACUUAAGUGUCGCCCCCAGGGCACAUCUCCAAGUGGUAAAAUGGGAGGGUGGAGAAAUCCAACUUUGUUUGAGACUGCUGCGUCAAGGGUUCGAAUCCUGAAAUAUGAAUUUGGCUCUUGGGUAAGUGCAAGUGUACAAGCAGCCUUCUAUCCUGUACCCUUGGAGGUAUAAUCUGCGAUUUACCUCCCUCACGAUACUCCAAGGCAGGGGUGGUAGGGGACCCUUAAGCAAUGUGUACACCAAUAUAUGUAGCAGUAGGGCCUUCCAGCAUGAGUCCGGAAAUUACUUUAAAAUAAUCUGAACAGCAUAGGAUUGGAUAUAAAAAUUUGUGGUGCUGAUAAAGAGAUUACUCUACCACCACAACCAAAGGCAGCGGUUGCAAAUGAUUUCAGAGUGGAGGUACAACUUUACUACUCAAGGAUAAGGGAAUAUUUCAGGAGGCGUUAGAUAAAUUAUUUAUGAAGAUUACAUGGAUGCUAUGAGCUUUAUAAUUACUUUCCUUCUAGUAACGAGUUUGAAAGUGAUUAAGACAAGAGAGCCAUGACAAUCUGCAUGUGGCGGUGACGACAAGUAUAACUAGGAUGCGUGAAAUGUAGAUCUUUAACUUUUCAGUAUACGCCUGUGUUUAGACGGAAAAUUUUACAUUUAAUUUUAUUGCGAUAUGUUUUAUUUU
Olea europaea var. sylvestris is the source of this 1015-nucleotide long non-coding RNA. RefSeq lists it as uncharacterized. The record is from RefSeq and is a predicted model, not a curated record. Lineage: Eukaryota; Viridiplantae; Streptophyta; Magnoliopsida; Lamiales; Oleaceae. The transcript has 2 exons.